Molecule: unclassified non-coding RNA, 4060 nt
Filed under: Hevea brasiliensis (rubber tree)
Lineage: Eukaryota; Viridiplantae; Streptophyta; Magnoliopsida; Malpighiales; Euphorbiaceae
Source: RNAcentral
AAAAAAAAAAAAAAAGGGGAAGAAGGUAUCACCUUCCUCUCAACCCCACCAGAUUUUCUUGUGAAAAUUAAAAGCAGAUCAGAGAAACACCAACAAGCCUCUCUCUCUCUCUCUCUGUUACUUGGCAAAGCAGAAGGGAUUCCUCAAGUGUCUCUCACAUCAUCACCAAACGCCAUUUCUUCCGCUUAAAGACUCUUAUCCAGUGUUAUUAACACCUAUGUCCCAGUAGUACUCAAUUACCACAAAGAAAGAUAGCGGACAGAGAGUACCUAGAUUAAAAAGGAUACAAUGGAUGUCAGCAGGAGAAGAGCUGGGGUUAAAACUAGUGUGGUUGCAGGCUCUGUCUGGGAGAGUAGAAUGAAGCUUGAUGAAGUCAAAGGUGGUAUCAAGGUUUUCAAUGGAGAUGGAAACCAUGAUGAGACUGCUGAUACUUCAAGGAAAUUUCUUAAGAGAGGCCAAUCUGGUACUUCAGUGGCUGCCACUGCCAAGAGAAAGACUUGGAAGUCUGAGAGUUUUGAUGGCCCAAUUCAGAUAGCUAAAGGGAAAACUGAGCCUCUACCAAUCAAGAAUUGUGAGGAACAGUGUAGAGAGUUGAUUGUUUCUGCUGAUGGAAUCAAGAAAAGCUCAAUUCCAGCAAGAAGAGGAAGGUCUGAAGGAAUCAAAGAGCUUAGUGUUUCUGUGGAUGGAAUUGAUAAAAGCCCAAUUCAGGGCAAGAAAGGAAGAUCCGAGGAGAUCGGUGUUUCUGCUGAUGGAAAUGCGAAAAGCCCAGUUCAGAUAAGAAAGCCAAGAUCUGAUAUAAAAGAACUUGUUGAAUCUGGUGCCCAAUUGAGGAAAUCGAAGUCAGAUUCAGUGAAUGCUGCAAAUCAGUCUGGUAAAGAUAUUGCAGUUGAUGGUGGGAUUGAAAGGGACUCAAUUCAGUUAAUGAAAGCAAAAUCAGAGCCUGAGAAAACUUCGGAUGAAUCAGAGAUUAAAGGUAGUGAAGAUUCUGUGAGUAGAAUUGAGAAGAGUCCACCUGAAAUUGAGGAAACUGGAUCUGAGGAAUCUUGCAAAGAGUUUGGUGUGUGCAGAGAAAAGGUCAUUCCUAUCAAUGAAGCCAAUGGGGCACUAAUCAAAUCACCUCCUCAACUCUUGGCGGAUAAUCAAGAUGAUCAUGAUGAUAUGGUUAUUGAUGGGGAUGAAAAAUUAGAUGGAGAUGAGGAAGAGGAAGGAAUAGAUGAGGAGGUGGAGAUUGAGAUUGAGAAGAAGAGCCUUGAAGUUAAGGAGAUUCAAAUACCAGAAGAGAAGACUAAGAAAGUGGAAACAAAAGCAUCAUCACCAGAACAUAAACCCAAGAAAGCAGUGAAUGAAGAACAGAAACCCAAGAAAACAGUGAAUGAAGAUAAAAGGGUUUAUCAAUUUAGGAAUAGAACAACACCCGUUUCUUCAACGGUGAAUAAACAGCCUCCUCCUGUAUUAAGGAGAGCAACAAUUUACCAAAAUCUUUCAAAACCCACUGCAGCUCCAGUUAGUAAUGAAAACCAUCAGAGUUUCCCAGAAACUCAUAGCAAGCUGCAAAAUCUAGUGAAUUUAGUGAUGUGGAGAGACAUGUCGAGAUCUGCAUUUGUCUUUGGAAUUGGCACAUUCACCAUAAUCUCUUCCUCCUAUACCAAAGAUCUCAAUGUCAGCUUUAUUUCUGUGAUUUCCUAUCUGGGUCUUGUUUAUCUUGCAGCCAUUUUCUUGUAUAGAUCACUUAUUUGCAGGGGAGUUAUAUAUAUAGAAGAUUCAAGUCAUGUGGUGGGUGAAGAAGAGGCAAUUUGGUUACUAAAAUUGGUUCUACCAUACUUGAAUGAGUGCUUGUUGAAAAUUAAAGCCCUUUUUUCUGGGGAUCCUGCUACUACAAUGAAGUUGGCAGUGCUGCUGUUUGUUUUCGCCAGGUGUGGCAGCUCCAUAACAAUCUGGAAGAUGGCCAAAUUGGGCUUUUUUGGGGCUUUUACUGUACCAAAAGUCUGCUCUUCCUACUCCACACAGUUAACUGGUUACGGUAAAUUCUUCAAUUUAUUGCAAUUUUGUCUUCUUGCAUUGUUUGUCGCUGUCUUGAUUAAGUUAUUAUAAUAUACCGUUAGACCAUAGUAAUUAAUGUACACUUCCACUCGCUGAUCUAAAUCUAACGCCAACAAACAUGGACCCCAUAUGGUGAUGGAACAUGGCAUUGGGUGGGCCUACCACAUCAGGUUAAUUUCAUUUCUUACCUACCCUAUAGACAUGGUAGUGGGAGGCAGGUUCUGUAUCUGGUAUUUUAAGUUGCAACGGUCGUGUUGACCUACCAUAGUGUAGAUGUAGAUAUAGAUGUGUUGGGUCCUACAUGAGUCCAAAUCCAUCAUCCAUCAUGAUCUCAAUUAUCCCUAAUCUCGGAUGCUAAUUUAGGACCCAUCACAGCAUCUCUUUUGUGUUCUCUUUUGCUGAUUCUCAUCACCUUGGUUUUUAAUUUUAUUUUAUUGUCAAGAUAAUAUUAGAAAUUGAGACACUAACAAUUGCUCUGCUUUCUGAAAAGUUAAUUUGAUAAUGCAAGUCAAAUAAUAAUUUUUUCUGUGUUUCACAUAAAAUUUUACUUUCUUAAUUUAUUUACUCCAAUUAAAGAAGGUCCUAAUUUAAUUUUUAAUACAAUAUUGGAGCCUUUCAAAUUAAAAUAUCCAAAGUUAAAUUUUAAAUUUUGAAUUUAUUAAUUAAAUAUUUCAUAUGUCACGUUCUUAAGUCCAACUUAGGCUUUAGAUGCUUUCAUGAUUAUUGAGUUUUAGUUUAUAUUUUAAUAAGUGACAAACAACGUAGUAGUGGAGUAAAUAUGAAGCGUUAACGUUUGUGUAAUGAAAUGGACGUGAAGCUAAAUUUUGGAUUCGACGGUUUCGAGAUGCAUGGGAGUCAUGCUCGCAUAAGAAAGCCGUUGCUUUGGCCAUCUUUACCCUCAUAUGGAAUCUCUCUUCAAUGGUUGCUCGUGUUUGGGCAGUGUUUAUGAUGUUUGUGGCCGUUCGAUAUUAUCAACAGUCUAUGAAGUCAUAUGAUUGGAUAGAGGGUGACGAUGAUGCAGUAAUGGAAGAUGAAGAUGAUAAAAACACACAAGCUCCAGUGGAGAAAGUAAAUAAAAAUAAAAAAGAAUUUUAAAAAAUAAAAAUUUUUACUCAGUACAUAAAUAUAUAUGAUUGAUAGAAAAUAAUAUGAAGUUUUAUUUUAUUAUUUUAUUUUUCUGUUUAUUGCUGUGAAUAUGUUGUUUGGGACAAUAUACAAACACGCUAUCAAGCUCAAUAGGACAGCUUGUGAUUAAAAAAUUAAUAAUUGAUUUCCUCAUGUUGUGUUGGGCAUUUUGUUAAUGUUGGGAAUGGGAAUGAAAAUUAUUUAUUUUAAUUUUUGUUAUUGAAAUAAUUAAUUUAAAUUUAAAAUGGCUUUUUUUAAAUUAUAUUUAACUCUUUCUUGAAUUGAAAGAAGAAUAUAUUUUCUAUAAUCUAAGCACUCAAAAUUUAGGGUUUUUUAUUUUAUUUUAUAUAUCCAAGAUAAAGUUUCAUUAAAAGAGACCAAUGAGCAACUACAGUGGCGAAGUCGGCCCAUAGAGCUGACACAAGAGAUCCGAACCCAGCUAAGUGGCCCAACAGGCACAGCUCAAACCCAUACAAGCUAAACCCUUGUAGAUUGAACGCCGCUGCAUGCUAAUCUUCUUCCUUACCACGCUGCCUGUGGAGCCAAAAGUUAAGGAGAAACCUGCCAGGAAUUCAUGCAAGGCAAGAAGAUAGAAGAGUAGAAACUCCAUUACCCAAAUCAACGCCCAAGCUCUUGAAGAUUAAGUAAGGCUCUAACUCUGGUCACCAGAGGCUUUGAAGGAGGGAUGGCAAAACUUCCACCUUUCUCAAAAAUUUAGGCUUAUCUAUUUACAGGGGGAACUUGUAAAAAAGUAUCAUGUGGUGGUUUCGCCGCAUUUUUCAAGUAGGAUUAUGAAGUUAAGUUUGUGACAAAAUUGUAUCUCUAGGUUAUGGGUUGUUAUAAAAGUUUUGCAGUGCUUGUUAAUUCUCAUAGAAAUGAAAAUUUUUAAAAAAAU